AUGCCCUUUGUGCCUGCACCACUGCCCACUCAAGCAGCUUCAUCACCAGCCCCCGUUUUGGGUGAAAACCUCUCUCUUCUGAGCAAAUCAGACCAGGAGAUUAAUACGGAAUUGUCAUUAUUGAGGAGAAAAAAACAAUUCAGCAAUUUCGCUACGCUUUUUCUGGAUCAAUGGGGCUCAGCCUCAUGCGGGGUGGCAGCUCCCCCGCUCCUCGUCUCGUGGCCAGGAGCUGUCACGGCCGCCCCAGAGGAGCUCUCGCAUUUCCCAUCUCCAGCCUUCAAUUACACGCAGCAUCAAGCUGAAGGCCGAGGAAAUAAUAGAAAAUCAAGCGGCACAAACGCGUUUAAGCCGUGGAACAUUUUGCAGUUCACUUUUGCACUCACCCACAGACGGUCAGGCACAGGCAGGGACGUGAGAUCCAUCCCCCCGUCUCCUGCCCCAGUGAGGACCCCCCCUCUCGUGCCUUCAGCAUGGGGACACGUCCCCUUUCCCCCCCAGGACCUCCUGGGCUUUCUCUUCCAGAACUUGAGGGCUGUCAGAGGCUGUGGUGGGGCUGGGGAGAUGUGGCUGGGAUGCUGCUGGCUCAGAGUGCCCGCUCAAAGCCCUGCAUCUUCCUCAGAUGAAUCCUGGGACAUUCGGGUCCCCGCAUCCCCUGCCUGCCUCCAUCCCAGGCACCAUCCCAAAAUGUGGUGCAGUGGAGGGGGUGUCUUGUGCCAAAGCAGGGAGCACCCACCUGCACCCUGCCAGGGAAAGGAAAGGCAUUUGGGGAUUCCCAAAUGGCCCCAAUCUCACCAGCAAUCUCCCCAGCACAUCUGGAGCAUUUCCUUGACACAGCCAGCUCCAAAAAACAUCCCAGAAUUAAUCCUUGGGCAUCUCUGCCCCCUCCAGCCUCUCCCUCCCAAACCUGCUCGAGGCAGUGAAUUCUUUUUGCCCUCCCCGUUGCUGCAGGAGGGUGAAAUCUGGGAGCCUUUUGCCCUCUCCCCUUCCCCAGCCCUCCACCUUCUCCCCAGUCACCCCUGGCUUUUAGCAGGCUUAUUUUGGGUGGCUGGGUUUAUAAAAAAAAAAAGUGAGCUUCUGUUCCUGUGCAACAUUAGCAAAGAGGUGAGAAAAGAGGAGCACAGUGACCAUCACGCCCCGUCCUGGUCCUCCCAGCUGCGUUUUUGCAUCCCCACAACAAGGAGGGAAGGCGCCCUAAUUCCAUCAACUCAAAAAAAAAAAACACACAAGGAGGUAGAAGGUUUCAGAGCAUUUCAUUUGUAA
RNAcentral lists this long non-coding RNA (1260 nucleotides) under Anas platyrhynchos platyrhynchos (common mallard). RNAcentral's name for it is "lncRNA (ENSAPLG00000025129.1)". Lineage: Eukaryota; Metazoa; Chordata; Aves; Anseriformes; Anatidae. The record is from RNAcentral.